GUCCUCACUUCAGCAGACAUAUACUAAAACUGGAGUGGUACAGAGAAGAGUAGCAUACCCUUUAAGCAAGAAUGGCAUGCAUAUUUGUGAGGCGUUCCAUUAAAAA
This 106-nucleotide small nuclear RNA is filed under the name Castor canadensis (American beaver). The record is from RNAcentral. Lineage: Eukaryota; Metazoa; Chordata; Mammalia; Rodentia; Castoridae.